Molecule: ribosomal RNA, 253 nt
Filed under: uncultured bacterium
Lineage: Bacteria
Description: partial 16S ribosomal RNA
Rfam family: Bacterial small subunit ribosomal RNA
Source: RNAcentral
UACGAAGGGGGCUAGCGUUGCUCGGAUUUACUGGGCGUAAAGGGCGCGUAGGCGGUCAGUUAAGUCGGGGGUGAAAGCCCGGGGCUCAACCUCGGAAUUGCCUUCGAUACUGGCUGUCUUGAGUGUGAGAGAGGUGAGUGGAAUUCCGAGUGUAGAGGUGAAAUUCGUAGAUAUUCGGAAGAACACCAGUGGCGAAGGCGGCUCACUGGACUGGUAUUGACGCUGAGGUGCGAAAGCGUGGGGAGCAAACAGG